AUAGAGCAACGCUUCUAUACAGUUUUAAGUGAGCCCCGUUAAUCUUUCCCGUCCGCCAAGAUAGAGAAGAUUAUCGGGGUUUUUGCUU
This 88-nucleotide antisense RNA is filed under the name Serratia sp. JKS296. RNAcentral describes it as "CopA-like RNA". It matches the Rfam family "CopA-like RNA". Rfam says of the family: In several groups of bacterial plasmids, antisense RNAs regulate copy number through inhibition of replication initiator protein synthesis. These RNAs are characterised by a long hairpin structure interrupted by several unpaired residues or bulged loops. Lineage: Bacteria; Pseudomonadati; Pseudomonadota; Gammaproteobacteria; Enterobacterales; Yersiniaceae. The record is from RNAcentral.